UUUGAGGGUUUGAUGGGUAUGGGGUGUAAGAAAGUGAGGGUUUCAUAUUGUUUCCUUUUUUUAUGCCCUUGAACUGACUCCUUUGCUGUAAAAAAAACUAACUUAACCUAACUUAGUCUAAUAACCUCAACUAUUAUUAGGGGAUGGGUUAAGGAAGGAAGGGGUUGAUGGGAUAGGUUAAGGAAGGAAGGGGGAAUGGAAUAUUAUAGUGUGUUUGGCUCGUUCUUUUUCACUUUCUUUUUCUUUCUCUUUCUUUUGUUCGUUCUUCCUUCUUUUCUUCAUAUUUCAUUUUCUUCUAGUUUGAUGGGUAUGGAAUAAGAAAGUGAGGGUUUUAUAUUGUUUUUUUUUUAUGCCCUUGAACUGACUCCUUUGCUGUAAUAAAAAUAAAAAUAAAAACUUAACCUAACUUAGUCUAAUAACCUCAAUUAUUAUUAAGGGAUGGGUUAAGGAAGGAAGGGGUUGAUGGGAUAGGUUAAGGAAGGAAGGGGGAAUGGAAUAUUAUAUGUGUGUUUGGCUCGUUCUUUUUCACUUUCUUUUUCUUUUUUCUUUUGUUCGUUAUUCCUAUGGGGUCGGUAAGGAAGUGAGGGUUUAAGAGAUGGGUUAAAGAAGGAAGGGGUUGAUGGGAUAGGUUAAGGAAGGAAGGGGGAAUGGAAUAUUAUAUGUGUGUUUGGCUCGUUCUUUUUCACUUUCUUUUUCUUUUUUUCUUUUGUUCGUUAUUCCUAUGGGGUAGGUAAGGAAGUGAGGGUUUUAGAGAUGGGUUAAGGAAGGAAGGGGUUGAUGGGAUAGGUUAAGGAAGGAAAGGGGAAUGGUAUAUUUUAGUGUGUUUGGCUCGUUCUCUUUCACUUUCUUUUCCUUUUUUUCUUUUGUUCCUAUGGGGUAGGUAAGGAAGUGAGGGUUUAAGGGAUGGGUUAAGGAAGGAAGGGGUUGAUGGGAUAGGUUAAGGAAGGAAGGGGGAAUGGAAUAUUAUAUGUGUGUUUGGCUCGUUCUUUUCCACUUUCUUUUUCUUUCUCUUUUGUUCAUUCUUCCUUCUUUUCUUUAUAUUUCAUUUUCUUCUACUCUUUCUCAUUCCUUUUUCUUUAUUUCCACCUUUCCUCCCUUGUUCUGUGUUUUCUUUUUACUAUCUUAUUUCCUUUCUUUCCUUCCAUCACUUUUUCUCCUUAAUGUAUAUUUUUUAAGGUGCAUGAAUUGGGAAUGGAUAGAUAGUGCAAGUUUUAAUUAAAGUGAUAUGUGUUUAGGGAAAGGAAGAGUAAAGAAUAUGAGGUGGAGGAAGGACCGUAGAGCAAAGAAUAAAUGGAAUAGAGUUGAAGGUAGAUGAGGAAAGGUGUGAUGGAUGAUUGGACUAAUCAUGAAACAAGGUGGCAGGGACCGUAGAGUUAACACAGUUGCUAGGUAAGGAUUUCAAGUAGAGAGAGGUUUCUACGUUAAGGCAUUGAAGGAAAGUAAAGGGAGAAGUAAAAAGCUAGAGGUUUGAUGGUAUAGAAGCGUGUAAAUGCAAGUUAAAUUCAUAUAGCCUAUCUGUAAAGUUGUCCAAUAAGCUACACUUUCUUUUUAUUUAAACUUACAUCGGCUAGAGAAUAAGAAAAAACGGAAAAAAGGGAAACAAAAACAAACAAUAAACACAUAAACA
Molecule: long non-coding RNA, 1627 nt
Organism: Eriocheir sinensis (Chinese mitten crab)
Lineage: Eukaryota; Metazoa; Arthropoda; Malacostraca; Decapoda; Varunidae
Exons: 2
Source: RefSeq, a predicted model, not a curated record